AUACGUAGGUGGCCAGCGUUGUCCGGAUUUACUGGGUGUAAAGGGCGCGUCGACGGAAGGCCAAGUCUGAUGUGAAAGCCCGCGGCUCAACUGCGGGACUGCAUUGGAAACUGGUCAUCUGGAGUGCAGGAGGGGUAAGCGGAAUUCCUAGCGUAGAGGUGAAAUGCGUAGAUAUUAGGCGGAACACCGGUGGCGAAGGCGGCUUAAUGGACUGUAACUGACGUUGAGGCUCGAAAGCGUGGGGAGCAAACAGGAUUAGAUACCCGGGUAGUCCACGCCGUAAACGAUGAAUACUAGGUGUCGGGUUUCUAUAGAGAUUCGGUGCCGCAGCAAACGCAAUAAGUAUUCCACCUGGGGAGUACGUUGGCAAGAAUGAAACUCAAAUGAAUUGACGGGG
RNAcentral lists this ribosomal RNA (397 nucleotides) under uncultured bacterium. RNAcentral's name for it is "partial 16S ribosomal RNA". It matches the Rfam family "Bacterial small subunit ribosomal RNA", at positions 523 to 918 of the family's 1533-position model. The record is from RNAcentral.